This 354-nucleotide ribosomal RNA is filed under the name Triticum aestivum (bread wheat). RNAcentral describes it as "partial small subunit ribosomal RNA". The record is from RNAcentral. Lineage: Eukaryota; Viridiplantae; Streptophyta; Magnoliopsida; Poales; Poaceae.
AUGACAGGGACUCAUUGGUGCUAUGCUCGUCCAUGCCAUUGUGGCUGUGUUUGGCUGAGCAAACCAAGGAACUUCAGUGAGCUGUUGCAGCGCAUAAAGAGAGCCUGCAAUGAUGUAGGUAGUUCGGCCUGCUACGCCGGACGCGAGGUUGCCAUCAAGAUGUCAGCAAGCCAUUUAAAGCUGGAAAGGAGUGAUAUGAUUCAUGCCUCUUCACACUGUAUACAAUCUGAUGAAGAGGGAAUCAAGGUUCUCUUCUUCUGUCCUGUGAAUAUUUUGUUUUCUAUUUGUAGAAAAACAAAGCAGCAAGCCUCCUCGCAGCUUCCAUUAAAAACCCAUGUGCCAGAAAGUUCUUAG